AUGAAGAACCCUGGCUCCCACAUUCUCCUUCCUCUAUGUCUUCCCUGGAAAGCUGGUCCUGCAGAUGGGACUCUGUUCCUGAAAGUAGUCGUUCUCUCGUGCCUCUUGACUUUUGGACUUGGGAAGUUGGAGCAACCUGAAGUAUCAGUUUCCAGAGCAAAAGAUGAGAGUGCCCAAAUAUCCUGUAAGGUUUCCAUCAACAGUUUUAAAAGUGUAGCCAUACACUGGUACCGGCAGAAACCAAAUCAAGGCUUAGAGUUUCUAUUAUAUGUUAUAGCAACACCUACCCGUAUCCUCAUAAAUGAGAAGUUCAAGAAAAUGGAGGCAAGUAAAAAUACUAGUGCUUCCACGUCCACACUGACAAUAUAUUCCUUGGAGGAAGAAGACGAAGCUAUCUACUACUGUUCCUACAGCUAUAGCUCAGGCUGGAGCAAGAUAUUUGCAGAAGGAACUAAGCUCAUAGUAAUUCCCUCUGAUAAACAAUUAGUUUCAGACAAAUCCCCCAAGCCCACCAUUUUUCUUCCUUCUGCUACUGAAACAAAUCUCCAUAAGGCUGGGACAUACCUUUGUCUCCUGGAAAACUUCUUCCCUGAUGUUAUAAAGGUAUACUGGAAAGAAAAAAAUGGAGAUAAUGUCCUGGAUUCCCAGGAAGGAGACACACUGAAGACUGGUGACACAUACAUGAAAUUUAGCUGGCUUACCGUGACUGAAAAGUCAAUGCAUAAAGAGCACAGAUGUAUUGUCAAACAUGAGUACAACCAAAGAGGAGUUGAGCAGGAGAUUUUCUUUCCUCCAAUAAAGAAAGUUGCCAUGAGUACCAGCCCUACAACUUGCUGGCAAGAUAAAAAUGAUGCACUGCAGCUUCAGUUCACAAGCACCUCUGCCUACUACACCUACUUCCUCCUGUCCUCAAGAGUGCGGUCUAUCUGGGCAUCAUCACCUUUUCUCUGCUCAGAAGAACCGCCGUCUGUGGCAACAAGAAGAGGUCUUAA
Non-coding RNA from Psammomys obesus (fat sand rat), 992 nucleotides. The record is from the annotation of a RefSeq genome assembly. Lineage: Eukaryota; Metazoa; Chordata; Mammalia; Rodentia; Muridae.